RNAcentral lists this long non-coding RNA (3689 nucleotides) under Sus scrofa (pig). Its description in RNAcentral is "lncRNA (ENSSSCG00040022431.1)". The record is from RNAcentral. Lineage: Eukaryota; Metazoa; Chordata; Mammalia; Artiodactyla; Suidae.
GGCCGAGGCUGCGGCGCGCUGGCAGCGGGUGGACUCGCUCAACCUGGGAGUCCUUUCACCUUCCCUGUUUUAUAAAUGGCAAACCUUUCCUAAACAAGCUGUCCAUCCAACCGCCAAAACCACAGGACAAGAAUUUCUACUCAAGGGGGAAACAGCAAGAAAGAAAAAAAGGUCACCAUUCCUAGAGCAGAGUUGCUUCUGGGAAGCAAUUGCCUGGCCAGAGACUACAUUUCCCAGCCUCCCUUGCACGGAUGUGGGACUAUGGACUAGCUCUUAUCAGUGAAACAAGAGCAGAGCUGAAGAGUGAGUUUAGAUGCCACUGAUACAAUCCCAACAUCACAAAAUGGAAGGAGUUUGGGUUCCAGAGUAACCAGCCUCACAGGAGAGCUGCCAGACUUGCCUUGGACAGUGACACGAGGGAGAAACAAACGUAUAUGUGAGAUCGCUGAGGUCAUGUUACCGCGACUGAAGUAAGAUAAGGUGGUGUCCGGAGUAUGGGGUCUGGAGCUUGACUACCUGGAUUCAAAUCCCUGCUCAGUCAUCUCUUGGCUGUGUGACUUAAGAUGAGAAGAUACAUCUGCUUCUGCUUCUAAGAGUCGGUGAUUCUCAUCCUUCUCUCUGCACUUGCCCUUGCCGUGUCCUUGGUCAGCACAGAGGAAGGACAACAGCCCAUCUCCCUCACAUCGGAAGUGGCUCCACAAGUUGGCCUUCACUGCCAUCAACCCUAACAGGUGUGGUGCUCUAUCUCCACAGUCCUCCAGAGCGCCCUCAAGUCCCUCAGGGUGUCUUUACUCCAAGAAGGGGUUCUAGACUAGACAAGCAGAGGUGUUGCAGAAAGGAAGAUACUGCAAAGGAUUCAGGCAGCAAAGGGUGUGCUCCCCACACUGGGGAAGACAUCUGGGCAGAAGGGCCUGGGCUGGACCUCACAUCCAUCCCUCUUCCCUUGGGGUCCUUGACCACCCUUGAGAAUGGCACCUACAUGCUCUAAUUCUCCAUAAAAUCCAGAGGCAAAAUGUCCCUGCUGUAAAGACCUUGAACCCUUUUUGGGAAGGUUUUAUGAACUUAAUAUCAUGGGUUGCUCUAACCCCAACCUUUGUCCUGACAGCAUCUGCUCAGGGAGUUUGAGAUUCAGCCAGUCUGUAAAGAGCUUCAGAUCCAGGGCUUUGAGGUGGGGAGAAGUGGUCACCUUGGAGAAAGCAGGAAACUGUGGCCAGCUGGGGCAUUCUUUGCUAUAGAUUCCAAGAGACAAACUUGCUGAUCCCAGGUCAAGUCUGCCCCUGCUUCCCUGCAUCUAGAACCAUCUCUGGCUCCACCUCCCAUUAACACCCCAGAACAGAUUCCCUACCCACCUCCUCAAGAAGAACAUUGCCUCCGGGGAUUUUCUAAGAGUUUUUAGGAUAAGCAGCAGUUAGAAGCUAACAAUAAGUAAAAUUUCCAGAAAUCAAGAGAAACUUGCAAUGUUCCUUGACACUUUAAAUGAUGCACUUGAAACAAGAGGCUUACAUUAGGAUCUAAAUUAGAGUUCUUGAGUGGCUUUUUGUAUUUUUUCUUUCACGUUAACCUGACUACAACUUUAUCUUCUCCAUUCACUUCCAAGAAGUCCUUAUAUAAUAAAGAGUUGAAGGUCUUAACCUCUCAAUCUCAACUCAACUCAAAUUACAAAGUUUACAUGCCUUUGGGGAUGGCUGUAUUAAGUAAAUAGAGAGGAAUGGUCACAUUCAGUGUAAGCUAAAACACCCAAGGCUGGCAGUAGGAAAAGGAGCUACCUACCUAUCAGGUCUUUCAUAAAGCCAGUCCCUUAAGUAGAAAGAAUAAAGUUCUCUCAAGACUUACCCUAUGGACUGCCUUUCACAGCUGGUUCAUAUUUAUAAGCCAAUUUGUCUGGAAGUAAAUCUCUUUAACACACCCAACUGACUCCAAGAGGUGUGUCCCAUGGGAACCAAUCUUAAAUAACUGUCUCAAGAAAAGUUUUAGCAGCAAUAUUGUCAGUCCUGGAAUUUCCACCUUUGGGGGGAAAAAAAAUCAACAAUAGAAUGCUUGGAAAUACAGAAUACACAGAGUUUAGCAAACUGCCAAAUUAAAUUCAGACACACACACACAAAUUUGCUAAUACCUGGUUAAAGAGUUGGCAUGGGAAGAAACAGACUUCUCAUUCAAGCCUGAAGCUCGGUAAUGGGUCAUUUGACCUGAAAUAACUUGGGCGGAAGUUGGCCUUAUUGUCUUCCACAAUCUCUUCCCACACAGUCAAAAAAGGGGAUGCAAUCUUAAGAUUUUUUCUUCCUCAUUCUCUCCCGCCCUUUCUCCUCUCCCUCCCUCCCUUUUAUUUUCUCUCUCUCCUUUCUUCCUUCUUUUCUUUCUCUUUCAAUCUUUGGGCAUCAAAAAGGGUAUCCCAGAAAACUUCAAAUGAAGUUUUAGAAGAGGACCGUGUGUUGGUUUCAGUUGUUUUUAGGGUGGGGGCUUGAACAACCUCAUCUCAAAAACGGAGAUUUUUUUUAUUACCUCUUUUGGUUGAGAUAUAAUUAAUAUAUAAUAAAGCUAUCUAAUUUACUGAAUUGGUCUGAUUCACAAGUUAAAUAAGGUUAAAUCAAAGAAAACAUGUAUAAGUCCCUCUAGACAGUGUCCAGGGUUGACUGGAUUAUAAACAGACAUAACCACUGAGGUCACUUUUUAAUUUAAAAACCCUCAAUGGCUCCUGACUUCCUACAGAACAGUCUAAAAAUCUAAGGCUCAAAAAUGUCAGGCUCUCCUUUCUAGUGCUACCUGCUGCCCCCAUCUCUUAUACAUACCAUUUGUCAGAUGCAACCAGAUAAUAGAAAUUUCCAGUCUCUCAGCUUCCUCCUGCUGCCCCAGGUCUGCUUAUCAAGGCCCUGCCCAUCCUUCAAAGUCAGAAGUCAUCUCCUCCAUGGAGUCCUCCAGCAUGUGAACGUUCCCAAGGAUGGAAUAAACACCAUUUCUUAUGACAUGCCACUCGGUGGCCUCAGCAGGACCUGGAUUGGAUUUCUGUAUCAGCUCCUUACCUGCUGGAUGCCCUGGGAUGAGAGACUUGAUUACCUCUUGCCUUCAUUUUCCUCAUCUGUAAAACAAGGAUGGUGUUAUUUUUAUUUCCUGGAUCAGAAGGAGGAGGACAUUAAUAUAUGAAUUAGAUUAAUAUAUGGAAAGAACAUGAGGCCAGCCCCUGCCCCCAGAAAAAGAGUCCAUACUGUUGCUAAGUUAUAAUUAGACCUUAUGUCAGGACCCUAGAUGAUUAAGCAUUUUCUCCAUGGCAUGUGCUUGGAAAAGGAUGCUUUAUGCAAGAAUGUCACGGAUGGAUAAAAGUUACCAAGACUUGCUAUAUAGCACAAGGAACUCUACCCAAUAUUCUGUGAGAACCUAUAUGGGAAAAGAAUAUGAAAAAGAAUGGAUAUGUUGGAGUCCCUGUUGUGGCUCAGCAGUAACGAACCUGACUAGGAUCCACGAGGAUGCAGGUUCAAUCCCUGGCCUCACUCAGUGGGUUAAGGAUCCGGCAUAGCUCUGAGCUGUGGUGUAGGUCGCAGAUGUGGCUCGGAUCCUGAGUGGCCCUAAAAAACAACAACAACAACAACAACAAAAAAUGGAUAUGUGUAUGUGUAUAACUGAAUCACUUUGUUGUACAGCAGAAAUUAAUACAACAUUGUAAAUCAACGACACUUCAAUAAAACUUUUUAAAAAAU